GUGUCAGCCGCCGCGGUAAUACGUAGGGGGCAAGCGUUGUCCGGAUUCAUUGGGCGUAAAGAGCUCGUAGGCGGCUUGGCAAGUCGGGUGUGAAAACUUCAGGCUCAACCUGGAGCGGCCACUCGAUACUGCCAUGGCUUGAGUCCGGUAGGGGACCACGGAAUUCCUGGUGUAGCGGUGAAAUGCGCAGAUAUCAGGAGGAACACCGGUGGCGAAGGCGGUGGUCUGGGCCGGAACUGACGCUGAGGAGCGAAAGCGUGGGGAGCGAACAGGAUUAGAAACCCCCGUAGUCC
Molecule: ribosomal RNA, 293 nt
Filed under: uncultured bacterium
Lineage: Bacteria
Description: partial 16S ribosomal RNA
Rfam family: Bacterial small subunit ribosomal RNA
Source: RNAcentral